AGCUUGCAUGGUGGAUCACAACAUAGCAUAGAGAUGAUUCAUGGACUGGAGACUUUCUGCACAUGCAGGGUCCAAGGUCUCUGAAAUUCAUCCAGCUUCACAGACCUGCUUCCUACCUGUGCUCAUAUCGGGAAAGAUGCCAAAACAGCUGGGAGAUGAAUUAUCUAUUUAUUUAUUCAAUACAAAUGCUUCCUUCUCUGACCUGGCGAAAUCUGAUAUAUUUUGCUUGGUUCUUAUGAAAAUCAUUGUGAAUCUUUCUGCCUCAAUUAUUUCUCCUCACGGAAGGACUGGAGAUCAGCCCUGUGAUUUGAUUAAUUGCAG
This is a long non-coding RNA of Chiroxiphia lanceolata (lance-tailed manakin), 321 nucleotides long. RefSeq lists it as uncharacterized. Lineage: Eukaryota; Metazoa; Chordata; Aves; Passeriformes; Pipridae. The record is from RefSeq and is a predicted model, not a curated record. The transcript has 3 exons.